This 461-nucleotide ribosomal RNA is filed under the name uncultured bacterium. RNAcentral's name for it is "bacterial SSU rRNA". It matches the Rfam family "Bacterial small subunit ribosomal RNA", at positions 917 to 1382 of the family's 1533-position model. The record is from RNAcentral.
GGGCCCGCACAAGCAGCGGAGCAUGUGGUUUAAUUCGAAGCAACGCGAAGAACCUUACCUAGACUUGACAUCUCCUGAAUUACUCGUAAUAGAGGAAGCCCUUCGGGGCAGGAAGACAGGUGGUGCAUGGUUGUCGUCAGCUCGUGUCGUGAGAUGUUGGGUUAAGUCCCGCAACGAGCGCAACCCUUAUCAUUAGUUGCUACCAUUAAGUUGAGCACUCUAGUGAGACUGCCCGGGUUAACCGGGAGGAAGGUGGGGAUGACGUCAAAUCAUCAUGCCCCUUAUGUCUAGGGCUACACACGUGCUACAAUGGGUGGUACAGAGAGACGCAAGACCGCGAGGUGGAGCAAAACUCUAAAACCACUCCCAGUUCGGAUUGAAGGCUGAAACUCGCCUUCAUGAAGCCGGAGUUGCUAGUAAUCGCGAAUCAGAAUGUCGCGGUGAAUACGUUCCCGGGCCUU